AUGAUGUUUUCUGGAUCUGCCAUCCCCAUUAGAAGAAGGGGGGGGCGGGGGGGGGGGAGAGAAAAUAAUAAUAAAAAUACAGAUUUUACACGUAUGAAACUUCAUGAGAAAAAGGUAACAAUUUCAGAGAUUUGAACUAAAAAUGCUUACAUGUGAAAGCACAGCAUAUUUAUAGUCCACUCACAUUUCACCUUAUACUGCAUGCCCUGUCACCUGGAAUUACUUAGCAAGCCACAGUGCUUCAGACCUCUCCUGAGGGUACAUCUCUUUGUUUAGGUUUUGUCUAUAAGCUAACACAUACCUAUACUCAGACUAAGGUAGACACUACACAAAACAUACCCAGUUCUUGACAGAAACAUUCAUCUUUUAUUUUCUUUCCUCAUAAGAAAUAAUCAAAGCACUUCAUGCACUUUUUCCACUGGAAACAGUUCAAGUUACAACAACCAAGUUCCUCUCUGACCAGAACAGUGUGAUUUAAGAGCAUAAACCAUGCACACAAAUACAUAUAUAUAUAUACAUACUUACACGUCUAUGUGUGCAUGCGUUUGUGUGCAUAUGCCAUGAACACAGGGUCAGAAACCGAGCACGGAGCAUUUACUUACUAAUGCAGUCCGCUCGGACCUCUUUGGAAACCUGAAGGAGUCUCCGCUUUCCCUCCUGCCAGUCAGGCGCCGGGUUGUGCCCCUAGUCCACACAGGCCCCGAAGGAACUGCAAAGAGAGAUAAGCACAUGCCACAUCAGGCAGGUCUGUUUUGGCGGGGUCCAGCGCCGCCGCCUCUCGCUUCUUAGGGGUAUCCCUGCUUUCCGAACAGACUCUUGCAAAAGAGUCAUCUUUCCCAAGAUUUUGUUUUGUUUUGUUUUUGUUUUUCCUACCACCGAUUUUUUUUAAGCCCUCCCGAGGCUUCUGCGCCCUAAAAUUUGCUUGGGGGGCUGGCGAGGAGCAGAGAGGCAUCUCAGAGACAGCGGCGGCGGCAGCAGCAGCAGCAGAGCACCGCUCCCGGGGGACACUUUUACUUUGCCCUCAAAGUAUCUCCCAGCAAUGAGAGCGUCUGAAUCCCCCACCCCCCCUGCACUACAGCAGAAUGCUGGGGUGUUUGCUGCAAGAUUCCCAGUCCCACUGACAUCAGUAAGAUCUGGGAGCAGACGGGGUGGGGGUGGGGAUUUUUUUUCUGUUUAGAAUACAGUUUUGUGUGCGCUAUAUUUAAUUAAGAUUUUUCCAGAAAUAGGACCCCAUCGAGAUUUAAUUUACGAAGAUACCUCUAAUGCUGGUCAGUACAGUCUUUGAAGAAAAACAUUUGCAGUAUUUUGCUUCCCCACAACUGUGCAAAAAUGCUCUUCACAGACUUUAAAUCGUUUAUGAAAGACUACAAAAGAUGUAUUGCUGUUUGCUUGUUUACUUGUUUUUGUUGUCAAUAGUAGCUUUUAUUGUUUGGUGUCUUCUUGUUGGGGUUUGUUUGUUUGUUUGUUCCCCCCCCACACACACACACACACAGUUCAUCUGCAUUAAAAUACAACUUUG
This 1519-nucleotide long non-coding RNA is filed under the name Coturnix japonica (Japanese quail). RNAcentral describes it as "lncRNA (ENSCJPG00005003291.1)". Lineage: Eukaryota; Metazoa; Chordata; Aves; Galliformes; Phasianidae. The record is from RNAcentral.